This 115-nucleotide ribosomal RNA is filed under the name Deltaproteobacteria bacterium. Lineage: Bacteria; Pseudomonadati; Myxococcota; Myxococcia. The record is from RNAcentral.
CUUGGCGGCCAUAGAGGAGAGGGUACACCCGACCCCAUUCCGAACUCGGCAGUUAAGCUCUCCAUCGCCGAUGAUACUGCAUAUUCAUGUGUGGGAAAGUAGGCCGCUGCCAAGG